CAGUUCUUUACCAGGAAUCCACCCUACUGACACAUGAGCAGUUCAUAAACUUUGCUCAGACAAGGAAAUCAUGCCAUGCAGAAACUGCAGAGAUCCAGAGUUCAGUGGAGAUGCCAUGGGAGCUGAACUCUGUUUGCAGGCCCACCUUAGGGUAGAUGCUGUCUGCAAGGGCCCUGCCUCCUCUUGGGUUAUCAUCUUCCUCUGCUUCCUGGCUGCAGACCAAAGAAAACCCCAGGCACAGAAAUGGGCUCAAGUCACUGGUGAAGCUGCAGUGAAGUAAACCAGGGAGUGGAUUUCGGGAAGCUCAGCCACCUCACCCAUGGAUGACCUUGUUCCACAGCCAAUGUAGGUAACUUGAUUGACCUUUGAUACCAAGACUGGGUGUUUGUAUAUGUCAGAUGAAAGAAAUGUAAAUCCAGGUCUACAAGCUAAAAAAAAAAAAAAAAUAGUUACAGAGGAUUUUAAAGUAUU
Molecule: long non-coding RNA, 471 nt
Filed under: Parus major (Great Tit)
Lineage: Eukaryota; Metazoa; Chordata; Aves; Passeriformes; Paridae
Description: lncRNA (ENSPMJG00000012485.1)
Source: RNAcentral